Molecule: transfer RNA, 71 nt
Filed under: Rhinogobius lentiginis
Lineage: Eukaryota; Metazoa; Chordata; Actinopteri; Gobiiformes; Gobiidae
Description: tRNA-Trp
Rfam family: tRNA
About the family: Transfer RNA (tRNA) molecules are approximately 80 nucleotides in length. Their secondary structure includes four short double-helical elements and three loops (D, anti-codon, and T loops). Further hydrogen bonds mediate the characteristic L-shaped molecular structure. tRNAs have two regions of fundamental functional importance: the anti-codon, which is responsible for specific mRNA codon recognition, and the 3' end, to which the tRNAs corresponding amino acid is attached (by aminoacyl-tRNA synthetases). tRNAs cope with the degeneracy of the genetic code in two manners: having more than one tRNA (with a specific anti-codon) for a particular amino acid; and 'wobble' base-pairing, i.e. permitting non-standard base-pairing at the 3rd anti-codon position.
Source: RNAcentral
AGAGGCUUAGGAUAAUAUUAGACCAAAGGCCUUCAAAGCCUUAAGUGGGAGUUAAAAUCUUCCAGCCCCUG